RNAcentral lists this long non-coding RNA (1035 nucleotides) under Taeniopygia guttata (zebra finch). RNAcentral describes it as "lncRNA (ENSTGUG00000019369.1)". Lineage: Eukaryota; Metazoa; Chordata; Aves; Passeriformes; Estrildidae. The record is from RNAcentral.
AUGAGGACAGAGGAUGGAUUUCUCCAGAGGAACUCUGGGAACUGCCAGAGCAGCCACACCAGGCUCCCAUGGCUCUUCCAGGAGCAGGUGGGAAGGAGACCUUCAGGAAUUGUCCAUCCAUACCAGCAGAACAAUUUUAAUUUGCCCCUGCUGAGGCAGUCCUGUGCCCCGGGCACCGAGCGUUCCUGCACUGCUGGAGUGUGGAAAACUCCCUGUGGGCACCUCCCAGAAACCCCGGCUCCAUCAGAACCGAGCUGGAUGGAGCAGGAAAACACCUGGCUAUGUCCAUGGGAUUUUCCCUGUGGGAAGGGGACGCUGGAGGUGCAGCUUUCCAUCCCAAAAAGCUGCAUCCCUGCAGAUCCGGGGCUGGGAAGGUGCCCAGGAGCUGCCAGGUGUGACCCCAGUGUGUCCCUGGGUCUGAUCCUGGUCCGAGUGCCCCGAACCGGGGGGAUCUGCCCGCCCGGGAAUCCUGGAGCACCCUGGACAGACACGGACACGGCAGGGACAGUCCCAGAUCCCGGGGGGAGAGGGGUGCAGGAGCUUCCCAAGGACCAGCAGGGAGGUUUUUGGGGCGCAGGAGCUUCUCAGGGACCAGCAGGGAGGUUUUUGGGGUGCAGGAGCUUCCCAGGGAUCAGGAAGAAGGUUUUGGGAUGCAGGAGCUUCCCAGGGAUCAGAAGGGUUGUUUUUUUUGGGUUUUUUUGGGAGCACAAGGGUGUAAGAGCUUCCCAAGGAUCAGGAGGAAGGUUUUUGGGGUGCAGGAGCUUCUCGGAGGAUCAGAAGGGGUUUUUUGGGUUUUUUUGGGAGGAGCACAGGGGUGCAGGAGCUUCCCAGGGAUCAGGAGGAAGGUUUUGGGGUGCAGGAGCUUCCCGGGGGAUCAGAGGGGGUUUUUUGGGGAGCACAGGGAUGCGGAGCUGGGGCGGGGGCGCAGCUCAGCCCCAAAACCCGAGCCCUCCCACGGUCUGGCUUUCCCAGGCAGGCGCCUCAGGAAACUUCUCCCGGCUCCAAUUGCUGCGCUCCACCUUUUAUUCUAAUUGA